This 382-nucleotide ribosomal RNA is filed under the name uncultured bacterium. Its description in RNAcentral is "bacterial SSU rRNA". It matches the Rfam family "Bacterial small subunit ribosomal RNA", at positions 124 to 507 of the family's 1533-position model. The record is from RNAcentral.
AUCUGCCCUGAGGUCUGACAUAACCCGUCGAAAGGCGGGGCUAACAUCAGAUGAUAUAUAAUCACGACAUCGUGGAAAUAUCAAAUCUUCGGAGCCUUGGGAUGAGCCUGCGUCUGAUUAGGUAGUUGGCGGAGUAAUAGCCCACCAAGCCUACGAUCAGUAGCUGGUCUGAGAGGGAUGAUCAGCCACACUGGAACUGAGACACGGUCCAGACUCCUACGGGAGGCAGCAGUAAGGAAUAUUGCUCAAUGGGGGAAACCCUGAAGCAGCAACGCCGCGUGAAGGAUGAAAUACUUUUGUAUGUAAACUUCUGUAAGAUGGGAAAAUAUUCUCCUCGGGAGAAUUGAUUGUACCAUCAGAGUAAGCCCCGGCUAACUACGUG